UUGAACGCUGGCGGCAUGCCUUACACAUGCAAGUCGAGCGGUAGAGGGGCAACCCUUGAGAGUGGCGAACGGGUGAGUAAUAUAUCGGAACGUGCCCAGUCGUGGGGGAUAACGCAGCGAAAGCUGCGCUAAUACCGCAUACGAUCUAUGGAUGAAAGCGGGGGGAUCGCAAGACCUCGCGCGAUUGGAGCGGCCGAUAUCAGAUUAGGUAGUUGGUGGGGUAAAAGCCCACCAAGCCGACGAUCUGUAGCUG
RNAcentral lists this ribosomal RNA (253 nucleotides) under uncultured bacterium. RNAcentral describes it as "partial 16S ribosomal RNA". It matches the Rfam family "Bacterial small subunit ribosomal RNA", at positions 30 to 289 of the family's 1533-position model. The record is from RNAcentral.